GAUGAAGAACGUAGCGAAAUGUGAUAAGUAAUGUGAAUUGCAGAAUUCAGUGAAUCAUCGAAUCUUUGAACGCACAUUGCGCCCCCUGGUAUUCCGGGGGGCAUGCCUGUCCGAGCGUCAUUACAACCCUCAAGCUCAGCUUGGUAUUGGGCCCCGCCGCUCCGGCGGGCCCUAAAGUCAGUGGCGGUGCCGUCCGGCUCCGAGCGUAGUAAUUCUUCUCGCUCUGGAGGUCCGGUCGUGUGCUCGCCAGCAACCCCCAAUUUUUUUCAGGUUGACCUCGGAUCAGGUAGGGAUACCCGCUGAACUUAAGCAUAUCAAUAAGCGGAGGA
Molecule: unclassified non-coding RNA, 329 nt
Filed under: soil metagenome
Description: partial contains 5.8S ribosomal RNA, internal transcribed spacer 2, and large subunit ribosomal RNA
Rfam family: 5.8S ribosomal RNA (bases 1-120)
Source: RNAcentral